RNAcentral lists this ribosomal RNA (468 nucleotides) under uncultured bacterium. Its description in RNAcentral is "partial 16S ribosomal RNA". It matches the Rfam family "Bacterial small subunit ribosomal RNA", at positions 28 to 507 of the family's 1533-position model. The record is from RNAcentral.
GACGAACGCUGGCGGCGUGCUUAACACAUGCAAGUCGAACGGAAAGGCCCUGCUUUUGUGGGUUGCUCGAGUGGCGAACGGGUGAGUAACACGUGAGUAACCUGCCCUUGACUUUGGGAUAACUUCAGGAAACUGGGGCUAAUACCGGAUAGGAGCUCCUGCUGCAUGGUUGGGGUUGGAAAGUUUCGGCGGUUGGGGAUGGACUCGCGGCUUAUCAGCUUGUUGGUGGGGUAGUGGCUUACCAAGGCUUUGACGGGUAGCCGGCCUGAGAGGGUGACCGGCCACAUUGGGACUGAGAUACGGCCCAGACUCCUACGGGAGGCAGCAGUGGGGAAUAUUGCACAAUGGGCGGAAGCCUGAUGCAGCAACGCCGCGUGCGGGAUGACGGCCUUCGGGUUGUAAACCGCUUUCGCCUGUGACGAAGCGUGAGUGACGGUAAUGGGUAAAGAAGCACCGGCUAACUACGUG